CACCAGCCCCUCGAGUGGUGGGGACUAUUAUUUGGCCUAAAGCGUCCGUAGCCGGCUGAAGCCGUYACCCGUUAAAUCCAGCGUCUCAAGCGUUGGACUGCGGGUGAUACCCUUCAGCUUGAGGGUGGGACAGGUCAGCGGUAUUCCCGGGGUAGGGGCGAAAUCCUUUGAUCCCGGGAGGACCACCAGUGGCGAAGGCUGCUGACUAGAACACGCCUGACGGUCAGGGACGAAAGCUGGGGUAGCGAACCGGAUUAGAUACCCGGGUAGUCCCAGCUGUAAACGAUGCGCGCUAGGUGUUGGGUCGGCCACGCGCCGCCCCAGUGCCGCAGGGAAGCCGUUAAGCGCGCCGCCUGGGGAGUACGGCCGCAAGGCUGAAACUUAA
Molecule: ribosomal RNA, 385 nt
Filed under: uncultured crenarchaeote
Lineage: Archaea; Thermoproteati; Thermoproteota
Description: bacterial SSU rRNA
Rfam family: Archaeal small subunit ribosomal RNA
Source: RNAcentral